GACGAACGCUGGCGGCGUGCCUAAUACAUGCAAGUAGAACGCUGAAGAGAGGAGCUUACUCUUCUUGGAUGAGUUGCGAACGGGUGAGUAACGCGUAGGUAACCUGCCUUGUAGCGGGGGAUAACUAUUGGAAACGAUAGCUAAUACCGCAUAACAAUGGAUGACACAUGUCAUUUAUUUGAAAGGGGCAAUUGCUCCACUACAAGAUGGACCUGCGUUGUAUUAGCUAGUAGGUGAGGUAAUGGCUCACCUAGGCGACGAUACAUAGCCGACCUGAGAGGGUGAUCGGCCACACUGGGGCUGAGACACGGCCCAGACUCCUACGGGAGGCAGCAGUAGGGAAUCUUCGGCAAUGGGGGCAACCCUGACCGAGCAACGCCGCGUGAGUGAAGAAGGUUUUCGGAUCGUAAAGCUCUGUUGUAAGUCAAGAACGGGUGUGAGAGUGGAAAGUUCACACUGUGACGGUAGCUUACCAGAAAGGGACGGCUAACUACGUG
This 497-nucleotide ribosomal RNA is filed under the name uncultured bacterium. RNAcentral describes it as "partial 16S ribosomal RNA". It matches the Rfam family "Bacterial small subunit ribosomal RNA", at positions 28 to 507 of the family's 1533-position model. The record is from RNAcentral.